Molecule: ribosomal RNA, 484 nt
Filed under: uncultured bacterium
Lineage: Bacteria
Description: partial 16S ribosomal RNA
Rfam family: Bacterial small subunit ribosomal RNA
Source: RNAcentral
AUUGAACGCUGGCGGAAUGCUUUACACAUGCAAGUCGAACGGCAGCACGGGGGCGGCCCUGGUGGCGAGUGGCGAACGGGUGAGUAAUACAUCGGAACGUGCCCGGUCGUGGGGGAUAACGUAGCGAAAGUUACGCUAAUACCGCAUACGAUCUGAGGAUGAAAGCGGGGGACCUUCGGGCCUCGCGCGAUCGGAGCGGCCGAUGUCAGAUUAGGUAGUUGGUGGGGUAAAGGCCUACCAAGCCGACGAUCUGUAGCUGGUCUGAGAGGACGACCAGCCACACUGGGACUGAGACACGGCCCAGACUCCUACGGGAGGCAGCAGUGGGGAAUUUUGGACAAUGGGCGCAAGCCUGAUCCAGCCAUUCCGCGUGCAGGACGAAGGCCUUCGGGUUGUAAACUGCUUUUGUACGGAACGAAAAGGCUCUGGCUAAUACCUGGGGCUCAUGACGGUACCGUAAGAAUAAGCACCGGCUAACUACGUG